AUUGAACGCUGGCGGCAGGCCUAACACAUGCAAGUCGAGCGGAGCGGCGGACGGGUGAGUACUGCCUAGGAAUCUGCCUGGUCGUGGGGGAUAACGUCCGGAAACGGGCGCUAAUACCGCAUACUAUCAGAUGAGCCUAGGUCGGAUUAGCUAGUUGGUGGGGUAAAGGCCCACCAAGGAGACGAUCCGUAACGGGGCUGAGAGGAUGAUCCGUCAUACUGGAACUGUGACACGGUUCAGACUCCUACGGGGGUGAGCAGUGGGGAAUAUUUGACAAUUGGCGCAAGCCUGAUCCAGCCAUGCCGCGUGUGUGAAGAAGGUUUUCGGAUUGUAAAGCACUUUUAGUUGGGAGGCGUUACCCACAGAAUAAGCACCGGCUAACUUCGUGCCAGCCGCCGCGGUAAUUC
Molecule: ribosomal RNA, 407 nt
Filed under: uncultured bacterium
Lineage: Bacteria
Description: partial 16S ribosomal RNA
Rfam family: Bacterial small subunit ribosomal RNA
Source: RNAcentral